Molecule: non-coding RNA, 243 nt
Organism: Vicia faba (fava bean)
Lineage: Eukaryota; Viridiplantae; Streptophyta; Magnoliopsida; Fabales; Fabaceae
Source: the annotation of a GenBank genome assembly
AUGGCUAAACACAAGAAAAUUUCAUCCUCUCAUCUUUUUCCGUUCUCCUCUAUGAAAAUACCUCCUCUGUUUCCAUUCAUCGCUCAAAACAUGUUAUCCUCGGUCGCCGAACAACAACGACUUAUGUUCUGUUUCGACUAUUCUCACGGUUACGGUUCGAUUUCAAGUUCGCAUGAUUUAAUAGUAACAACAAGAUACGCUGCUCAUCUCUUGCAGAAAUAUGAAGGUAACAACAAAGCAUAG